This 314-nucleotide unclassified non-coding RNA is filed under the name Hevea brasiliensis (rubber tree). Lineage: Eukaryota; Viridiplantae; Streptophyta; Magnoliopsida; Malpighiales; Euphorbiaceae. The record is from RNAcentral.
AGGGUCACUCUCUCCAUUGACCCAUUUUCUUCAAAAUCACGUUUGAAAAAUUGGGCUGUCUCCAUGUUGACACCCAUGGCUGCAAAUACGAUGGCGAAAUUGUCCUCUUCCUCAUCCUCCAAAAGAUGUCCAGAUUUUUCAAGCCUCUUAACAAGACCAGCCUGGCGACAAAUCUGAGCAGCUAUUUCAUUGUGAGGAAGACCAGCAGCAGAAAAAAGUGGAAUCUUCUGACCACGGGCAAUUGAAUUCAUGACAUCAAUGGUAGAGAUUCCUGUUUGUAUCAUUUCUUCAGGAUAGGUUCUUUCACUGGGGUU